GGCAAUAAAACAGAUCUUUGAGCUCCAGCUCAAAAUUAAGAUUUAAAAAAAAAAAAAGAAAAAGAAAACACAGCUUAAAUGAUUCAAAGCUUUAUGAUUAUGCCACUGCACUCCAGUCUGGGUGACAGUGAAACCCUGUCUCAAAAAAAAAAAUUAAUAGACCCUCAGUCACCUACUGUACAGAGCAAAGUACUUGUAUUAUCACUGGCGGCUCACCAUACCAUGUUUGAGUUCCAGCAUCGGAGAUGGAGGAAGAGAGAGUGGAGGGCAGGUGGCUUCCUUUUAAGGGUUAAAUGUUGCCUACACCACUUCUGUUCCAUUCGCAUGCUAGCUGCAAGUGGGUCUGCCAGACGGGGCAGCAGCAGCAGUUCCCAGAGGAGCACCCAUUGUUGCAGCUAGGACCCACCAAGGAUGGGACUCCUGGAGUCAGGUGCACCCCAGGUAACCCAGGACCACGCUGU
RNAcentral lists this long non-coding RNA (461 nucleotides) under Pan troglodytes (chimpanzee). RNAcentral's name for it is "long non-coding RNA NONPTRT004346". Lineage: Eukaryota; Metazoa; Chordata; Mammalia; Primates; Hominidae. The record is from RNAcentral.